Molecule: long non-coding RNA, 1220 nt
Filed under: Chrysemys picta bellii (western painted turtle)
Lineage: Eukaryota; Metazoa; Chordata; Testudines; Emydidae
Description: lncRNA (ENSCPBG00000027625.1)
Source: RNAcentral
AUGAAACAGGACACAUUCCCCUGCUGUUUACCUUCAAUCCCCACAUCAGUGCCAGCCUGUUAUGGUAUAAGUCAUCAACUGACUGUGCAAUGCAAGAGGAAAUCUUGGCAGCUGCAGGUUGGAAUUAACAUAACUCUUAUCAGAUUCCAUUUUUGAGUUUUCAGCUUUUCGCCACAAUUUAGGACAAGAAGCUCUUUUUUGAAAUCUUGAAAGCUUUCCUGGAGCUAGAACACUGUUUUCUACCCAGCUCUAGAAACGUGACUCAGACACCCUGCUCAGUCAAAAUUUCUCACGUUCUUCCUCCUUGCUUCCGAGGAUAGUCAUUUAUUGCUGGCCUAUACCAGCAGUAGACUAUUACCCCCAUCCCCCACUGGCUGGUGAAUAGGGAGCCAUGGGUCUCUUCCCACCCAGACGCUUAGGAGAGCAAGUGAGCGCAAGAGUAGCCCUGCUUACUACUGCUUAUCUGUAGCCAAUGGGUCUGGGUUAACCACAUAAGGGUGUAAGGAGAGGUCCCUGCUCCCUUACACAGGCAUCAAGCCCUUAAAGAUUAUAUCCAUCCCAUUCACUUGCCUUUCUAAUCGGGGAAAAAUAUUUUUCCUAAAGGACAAAAUAAGAUGUCUCUCAACACAGAAACAUACUGACUGCACCACCAACACCAAGGAGUCGGCUGCUCUGACUGAAGAGCAGUUAAUAGCCAUCCUCCUGCCACUGUUGUAUAACUGGAUUGCUGCACUUCAUGCAGAUGGGAUUAGUUGAUGUCAAUUUCAUUAAGUGUGAACUGUACAUAUAUUAGACAAUUUUCUCUUUUUAUUUCAGAAAAUAAUCCUUUAUUCUAAAAUUGUUACAUUUAAUAUUCCAAACCAAGCAAUGCCAACAACGGUUUGCUAUCACAGGUUUAUAAUACAUAUGUUCCGUAUAUCUCUAGUUCAAAGAUGUACAGUACAGUCAUAUUAUUAUAAUACAUCACAAAUGUUUCCUGAAGAACUCCAAUAACCAUAUCAUUUCCUCAGAACUUAAGAUUCUGGUGUCACCUCUGUUGUCCUACAUCCCUCUCCAAAGCAAUAACAGGAUGUAUAGUGAUCAAUAUCAUACACAGUAGUGCGGGAGGUACUAAAAUAUCAGUAUCUUAUACAGUAACCCCUAAAUUUUUCAGGAGUUGUAGGGAAUUCUAAUGGAAGAUUCUAAAUAAAAAUCUGUACAGAUUUUUGUACUUGAAAAUG